GAUAGAUAUGCCAAAGUAGACAAGGUACAGUGCUUAUGUGGACACUCAUUUCUUAGUGAUGAAGAAUAAUAAACAAAUGUGAACACGUGUCUGCUAUAUUUUACAGAAAAUGCACAUGAAUACUGGGCAUGUAGAAAAAGCUUACAGCAUUUUAAAAGCUUGAAAAUAACAUAUUUGAUAUUUAAAAAAAGGUUAAUUCCAAGUUAUGGCAUUAAAUGCUGUCCAGCACCGAACACAUGGGAAAUCUUUUGGACUUUGGUUUGAGUAAACAGAAAACAUAGCAGCAGCUGUACAUCAACACUGUCCAGAAGCGCCGCCCACUUCUCUGGGCUCGGUCUCAUCUGAGAUGGAGAGUAACACAGUGAAAUCGUGUUUUGUGGUCCAACGAGUUGACAUUUCAAAUCGUUUUUGGACAAAAUAGCCGUCAUGUUCUCCGGGCCGUCUAAGCUGUUAUCAGCAUCAGGUCCAAAAGCCAGUCCAAGUCAUGGGAUGUCCCUGCAUUUUCCAGCAGGACAACGC
Molecule: long non-coding RNA, 519 nt
Organism: Ictalurus punctatus (channel catfish)
Lineage: Eukaryota; Metazoa; Chordata; Actinopteri; Siluriformes; Ictaluridae
Source: Ensembl